GACGAACGCUGGCGGCGUGCCUAAUACAUGCAAGUCGAACGCUUCUUUCCUCCCGAGUGCUUGCCCUCAAUUGGAAAGAGGAGUGGCGGACGGGUGAGUAACACGUGGGUAACCUACCCAUCAGAGGGGGAUAACACUUGGAAACAGGUGCUAAUACCGCAUAACAGUUUAUGCCGCAUGGCAUAAGAGUGAAAGGCGCUUUCGGGUGUCGUUGAUGGAUGGACCCGCGGUGCAUUAGCUAGUUGGUGAGGUAACGGCUCACCAAGGCCACGAUGCAUAGCCGACCUGAGAGGGUGAUCGGCCACACUGGGACUGAGACACGGCCCAGACUCCUACGGGAGGCAGCAGUAGGGAAUCUUCGGCAAUGGACGAAAGUCUGACCGAGCAACGCCGCGUGAGUGAAGAAGGUUUUCGGAUCGUAAAACUCUGUUGUUAGAGAAGAACAAGGACGUUAGUAACUGAACGUCCCCUGACGGUAUCUAAACAGAAAGCCACGGCUAACUACGUG
RNAcentral lists this ribosomal RNA (508 nucleotides) under uncultured bacterium. RNAcentral's name for it is "partial 16S ribosomal RNA". It matches the Rfam family "Bacterial small subunit ribosomal RNA", at positions 28 to 507 of the family's 1533-position model. The record is from RNAcentral.